Molecule: non-coding RNA, 883 nt
Organism: Drosophila melanogaster (fruit fly)
Lineage: Eukaryota; Metazoa; Arthropoda; Insecta; Diptera; Drosophilidae
Source: Ensembl
ACUCGGUGGAAGAUGGAAUUGCACUGAUCACACUUGAUGCAGCCAUCGUCGAAGGGAAAGAUCACCUCGUUGUUGCUACAAAUCUCGCAAAUGUACGCUUGGGCAAGGCACAUGGGGCAGGAUCGUAUGUGAUCAUUGAAUGCCUUGAAAACUCCUUGCAGAAAUUCGCUCAGCGCUCCAGAUUCCACCUGGCUGAGAUCACUUAGGGAAUAGAACUCAUUUGACUGGGCCAGAUGUCGCCGGACACCCAGUUGCUGAUCCACCAGCUUCAACUCGCUGGCAAUCUUGCAGGCAGCCAGAUAGUAUUUUCUACGAGGAAGGAGUCUAAUUAUUCGGAACCAAAAGAGUAGCCUUAACUUACUUAUAUUUAGCAUCGUCCCGCACUCGGCGCACUUGUAUCCCUGGGAGGCGAGUCCGAUUUCUGGACAUAUCUCCGAAAUGGGAUGCUGCCGCUCUGAAACCAGGACAUGGGCACAAACCCUCUUCACGCCAUCGAUGCACUUCUGAUGGACCAGGAAUCCGCAAUCGCUGCACACGUACGAGUUCUGCACCACACUCCAAAUAAUGGUGGUGCAGUGGUCACAGUAGUUCCUCUUGGCGGCUGCCUGCAGACGAUUCCGUUUGCCAUGAUGCGGGUGAUGGGGCACAAAAUGAUGACCCACCACAGCACGUAUGGCAUUCAUAACUACCAUGUCCGACGAUAGGGAAUGCUGCUCCUGGGCCUCCUCCAGCUCCUGCAGUGAGUAUCGCAAAUCUACCAGGUGCCGCACCAACCAGCGACGCUCCUCGCUGAGUUCCUCGCUCAGCAGGACGAGAUCUCUGCAAUGGGCGAUGGCCGCCUGCAAAUCCUGGAUAUUGGCAUCGCUGGUGAAGAUUAGGCGCC